GGAAGGAUCAUUAUUGAUUGUGAAUGGUUGCCUUCAGUGCUGGCUCCGGCAAGUGCACGCUGGUGACUUCAAUCCAAUACCCUUGUGAACCAUUGGCCUCUUGCUAGCUUCGGCUGGUAGAGGAUAUUUACACCAACUCGAAUGUAAUGAAAUUAUUGUUGUGCGCAAGCACUAAUGUACAACUUUCAACAACGGAUCUCUUGGCUCUCGCAUCGAUGAAGAACGCAGCGAAAUGCGAUAAGUAAUGUGAAUUGCAGAAUUCAGUGAAUCAUCGAAUCUUUGAACGCACCUUGCACCCUUUGGCAUUCCGAAGGGUAUGCUCGUUUGAGUGUCAUUGUACUCUCACACUUCCAAUUCUUUGGAUUGGGAGCGGUGGACUUGGGCGCUGCUGCUUUACUGUGGCUCACCUCAAAUGCAUUAGUGCAACCCUUGGUUAGACAUAGUACGGCGUGAUAAGUGUCUUCGCUGGCGCCUCACUUAGAGGGUGGCUGAUCAGGGGCUCUGUGCUUCAAACCGUCUUUGGACAAUGGCUGACAACUUGACCUCAAAUCGAGUAGGACUACCCGCUGAACUUAAGCAUAUCAAUAAGCGGAGGAAAAGAAACUAACAAGGAUUCCCCUAGUAACGGCGAGUGAAGAGGGAAGAGCUCAAAUUUUGAAUCUGGCGUCUUUGGCGUCCGAAUUGUAAUCUAGAGAAGUGUUUUCCGUGACGGACCGUGCAUAAGUCUCCUGGAAUGGAGUGUCAUAGAGGGUGAGAAUCCCGUAUAUGGCACGGACUCCCGUUGCUCUGUGAUACACUCUCGACGAGUCGAGUUGUUUGGGAAUGCAGCUCCAAAUGGGUGGUAAAUGCCAUCUAAAGCUAAAUAUUGGCGAGAGACCGAUAGCGAACAAGUACCGUGAGGGAAAGA
This 907-nucleotide ribosomal RNA is filed under the name uncultured fungus. Its description in RNAcentral is "eukaryotic LSU rRNA". The stretch from base 540 to 907 matches the Rfam family "Eukaryotic large subunit ribosomal RNA", at positions 1 to 364 of the family's 3401-position model. The record is from RNAcentral. Lineage: Eukaryota; Fungi.